Molecule: ribosomal RNA, 490 nt
Filed under: uncultured bacterium
Lineage: Bacteria
Description: partial 16S ribosomal RNA
Rfam family: Bacterial small subunit ribosomal RNA
Source: RNAcentral
GAUGAACGCUCGCUACAGGCUUAACACAUGCAAGUCGCGGGGCAGCAUGGGGGUUGCUUGCAAUCCCCGAUGGCGACCGGCGCACGGGUGAGUAACGCGUAUCCAACCUGCCCUUCACCACGGGAUAACCCGGCGAAAGUCGGACUAAUACCGUAUGUUGUCCAUUGACGGCAUCCGAUUUGGACGAAAGGUUUGGCGGUGAAGGAUGGGGAUGCGUCCGAUUAGCUGGACGGCGGGGUGACGGCCCACCGUGGCGACGAUCGGUAGGGGUUCUGAGAGGAAGGUCCCCCACACUGGAACUGAGACACGGUCCAGACUCCUACGGGAGGAAGCAGUGAGGAAUAUUGGUCAAUGGGCGUAAGCCUGAACCAGCCAAGUAGCGUGCAGGAUGACGGCCCUAUGGGUUGUAAACUGCUUUUAUGCGGGGAUAAAGUGGCCCACGUGUGGGUUUUUGCAGGUACCGCAUGAAUAAGGACCGGCUAAUUCCGUG